UCUUGCCUUGCCACAAAGAAGAAAAGAGAGAUGUGAUCUUAACCCCUUCGCUCCUUCACCAGCCCUCCCAUUAUCACAUCUCCCUCUUUUUUCUCCUCCUCUUUUUGAAUUUCCUUGCUCCCCCCCCCCCCACCUGCCCACACCCUACUGGCUUCCAUACAUCACCUGGCACAAGACAAGGAGAAAUCUACUGCUCUAAUUUCAGCCUGGAUCCAAGAAGAGGACAACAAAGAAUCCCCAAAAGAAUGCCUGAAGGAGAUGGAACCUCAAUUCCCAAAAGGGACAGUCAGUCAAAUCUUGUUCCAAGAUGAAAUAUCUGAACCUAUCAUUUCCAUAUGAAAAUGGACAUUUGUGCAUACAUACCAGUCGGAAAUUCCUAUUCCUACCCACAAUUGCUUUCCGUUAUAGUUGGACUAUUUGGAAGACUUCAUGAACGCUGGUUGCAAAGAACUGCAGUCACUUUACACAAAAGCACCAAGACAGCAACAGAAAGGGAAACAACAAGGGAGAGAAAAUAUCUCGAAGUAAGAUCACACAAAAAGAAGAAAGGCUAUGGAUGUUUAGCCUCAGGAGAGGUGAAAGGAAGAAUGAGGGUUGAAAGAAAGACUCCGUUCUGAAAAUGCUGCUUUCCUGCACUCCCCUCCGGCCAUGGAGUGGUAAAGAGAAAGUGGAUGGCAACAGAACAUCCUCCCUCCACCUACAAUUUG
Non-coding RNA from Anolis sagrei ordinatus, 707 nucleotides. The record is from RefSeq and is a predicted model, not a curated record. NCBI's taxonomy places the organism in Eukaryota, Metazoa, Chordata, Lepidosauria, Squamata, Anolidae.